GAACGCUGGCGGCGUGCUAACACAUGCAAGUCGCGCGUGAAAGGACUUCGGUCCGAGUAAAGCGGCGCACGGGUGAGUAACGCGUGGAUGAUCUACCCAUGAGUUAGGAAUAACGGCUGGGAACGGUCGCUAAUACCAAAUACGCUCCGAUUUCAACUUCGGGGGAAAGGUGGCCUCUGCUUGCAAGCUACUGCUCAUGGAUGAGUCCGCGUCCCAUUAGCUAGUUGGUGGGGUAACGGCCCACCAAGGCGACGAUGGGUAGCCGGUCUGAGAGGAUGACCGGCCACACUGGGACUGGAACACGGCCCAGACUCCUACGGGAGGCAGCAGUGGGAAUAUUGCGCAAUGGGCGAAAGCCUGACGCAGCGACGCCGCGUGAGGGAAUGAAGGUCCUCGGAUCGUAAACCUCUGUCAGGAGGGAAGAACCGCCACGGUGCUAAUCAGCCGUGGUCUGACGGUACCUCCAAAGGAAGCACCGGCUAACUCCGUGCCAGCCGCGGC
Molecule: ribosomal RNA, 501 nt
Filed under: uncultured bacterium
Lineage: Bacteria
Description: bacterial SSU rRNA
Rfam family: Bacterial small subunit ribosomal RNA
Source: RNAcentral